Molecule: ribosomal RNA, 699 nt
Filed under: uncultured bacterium
Lineage: Bacteria
Description: bacterial SSU rRNA
Rfam family: Bacterial small subunit ribosomal RNA
Source: RNAcentral
GCGCGCCUAAUACAUGCAAGUCGAGCGAGAAGACGUGGCAAUACGUUUGUAAAGCGGCGAACGGGUGAGGAAUACAUGGGUAACCUACCCUCGAGUGGGGAAUAACUAGCCGAAAGGUUAGCUAAUACCGCAUACGACUCCUGGUCUGCGGAUCGGGAGGGAAAGCGAUACCGCGGGUAUCGCGCUCUUGGAUGGGCUCAUGUCCUAUCAGCUUGUUGGUGAGGUAAUGGCUCACCAAGGCUUCGACGGGUAGCUGGUCUGAGAGGACGAUCAGCCACACUGGCACUGCGACACGGGCCAGACUCCUACGGGAGGCAGCAGUAAGGAAUAUUGCGCAAUGGGCGACAGCCUGACGCAGCGACGCCGCGUGGGGGAUGAAGGCCUUCGGAUUGUAAACCCCUUUCGGCAGGGAAGAUGGAACGGGUAACCGUUCGGACGGUACCUGCAGAAGCAGCCACGGCUAACUUCGUGCCAGCAGCCGCGGUAAUACGAAGGUGGCAAGCGUUGUUCGGAUUUACUGGGCGUACAGGGAGCGUAGGCGGUUGGGUAAGCCCUCCGUGAAAUCUCCGGGCCUAACCCGGAAAGUGCGGAGGGGACUGCUCGGCUAGAGGAUGGGAGAGGAGCGCGGAAUUCCCGGUGUAGCGGUGAAAUGCGUAGAGAUCGGGAGGAAGGCCGGUGGCGAAGGCGGCGCUCUGGAAC